Molecule: ribosomal RNA, 218 nt
Filed under: uncultured bacterium
Lineage: Bacteria
Description: partial 16S ribosomal RNA
Rfam family: Bacterial small subunit ribosomal RNA
Source: RNAcentral
ACGCUCGACACCUACGGGUGGCAGCAGUGAGGAAUAUUGGUCAAUGGGCGCUAGCCUGAACCAGCCAAGUAGCGUGAAGGAUGAAGGCUCUAUGGGUCGUAAACUUCUUUUAUAUAAGAAUAAAGUGCAGUAUGUAUACUGUUUUGUAUGUAUUAUAUGAAUAAGGAUCGGCUAACUCCGUGCCCGCAGCCGCGGUAAUCUGAGCGGGCUGGCAAGGC